AUGAGCAAGGUGGUGAGAGUACUCACUCCCUUUUUAAGAAUCACGAACACAUGACAAACCAUGUUCGUAAUGACGAAGACCGAGUUGUGAAAAAGUGCGAGCUAGCAACACGGAAAUACCUGUUGAAAGUGAAAUCCAAGCUGUGUGACUGAAAUGGGUCAAUCAUGA
Molecule: long non-coding RNA, 168 nt
Organism: Bolinopsis microptera
Lineage: Eukaryota; Metazoa; Ctenophora; Tentaculata; Lobata; Bolinopsidae
Exons: 2
Source: RefSeq, a predicted model, not a curated record